Molecule: long non-coding RNA, 888 nt
Organism: Priapulus caudatus
Lineage: Eukaryota; Metazoa; Priapulida; Priapulimorpha; Priapulimorphida; Priapulidae
Exons: 6
Source: RefSeq, a predicted model, not a curated record
CCUCUCGAGCUAACGAAAACACGACGAUGAGAUGGGUCGGCUGAGGGUCCGUCAGAGGCGGUCGUCGACCAGGCGCGGCUGGAGCUACAGGUCGCACACGAAGAACAAAUGAACGCCAUUGCGAUGGACGGAGACUACCAGCAGGGAUACAGGGAGGAGCUUCACAAGUCCCAGCUGGCCGCGCUCACGGAGAGGCUGAGGGAGGAGGGCGAGGAGAGCGGAGAGGCUGAGGCAAGGCCUCGCCACGCAGAAAGACGGAGAGAUCGCAGCUCUGCAGGAGACAAUGCAGGCGGAACUCGACGACGUACGCAGCAAGCUAGAUGCUCUCCUCGCCUCGCAGGACAUCGCCCCCUACACCGCCGUGCAAGACAGCGCCCCCUACACGGACGCGCGCGGGAUGCCGGCGAGUUGGCAGACGGAGCGUGAGGAACUGAUGGAAGAACUACGCGGUCUCAAGGAGAAGCUACAGCGCACUGAGAGAGAGAAGCUGCAGCAAGAGAGUCUCCACUCACACCACGACAAGCACGAGCACACAACAACAGAGAAGGAAGGCGAGAGACAGAGAGGAGGAGAGGAGAGAGGAGGAUGAGCAGGAGAGAGAGGGGAGAGGGCGGACGUGUCGACGGAGGAGAAGACCACGCUCGCAGCAGCGUCGGCAUGGAGAGCAACACGAUGAGCUUGCUGAGGUCAGAGGUCGGCCAGCUGAGCAUGGAGAGGCUGGCGCUGCAUCGCUGCAACACGAAGCUGCUGCGCUCGUGUUAGUCGCGACUCAGCGUGAUGUCGACGUAACACAUCGCCCACGGAGGGCCUCAAUCAAUCGUUCGCCUCGCAUCGCCAUCCUGCCACGCGCAGAGCAGAUCCUAGGUCGCUGACGCCGACGGGAGGGAG